AAGUUUUCGGACAGAAGACAUUAAGACUUAGUGGCGGACGGGUGAGUAACGCGUGAGCAACCUGCCUACAAGAGGGGGACAACAGUUGGAAACGACUGCUAAUACCGCAUAAGCCCACGUAUUCGCAUGGAUAUGAGGGAAAAGAUUUAUCGCUUGUAGAUGGGCUCGCGUCCUAUUAGCUAGUUGGUGAGGUAACGGCUCACCAAGGCGACGAUAGGUAGCCGACCUGAGAGGGUGAUCGGCCACACUGGAACUGAGACACGGUCCAGACUCC
RNAcentral lists this ribosomal RNA (274 nucleotides) under uncultured bacterium. Its description in RNAcentral is "partial 16S ribosomal RNA". It matches the Rfam family "Bacterial small subunit ribosomal RNA", at positions 71 to 339 of the family's 1533-position model. The record is from RNAcentral.